This 107-nucleotide small nucleolar RNA is filed under the name Gossypium hirsutum (cotton). Its description in RNAcentral is "Plant small nucleolar RNA R71". It matches the Rfam family "Plant small nucleolar RNA R71". From Rfam's summary of the family: R71 is a member of the C/D box family of snoRNAs containing the C (UGAUGA) and D (CUGA) box motifs. Multiple nearly identical copies of this snoRNA have been identified in Arabidopsis, and it is thought to function as a 2'-O-ribose methylation guide for 18S ribosomal RNA. Lineage: Eukaryota; Viridiplantae; Streptophyta; Magnoliopsida; Malvales; Malvaceae. The record is from Rfam by way of RNAcentral.
AAUCCUGUGGUGAGGGUAUCUACGAAGUAACUCCUUAAAUCUUUCUCAUGCCUUGUAUAAGGAUUCAUCAUCCAUCUGCGAGAAAGUGGUGAUCUCGUUCCGCUACU